RNAcentral lists this ribosomal RNA (469 nucleotides) under uncultured bacterium. Its description in RNAcentral is "partial 16S ribosomal RNA". It matches the Rfam family "Bacterial small subunit ribosomal RNA", at positions 28 to 507 of the family's 1533-position model. The record is from RNAcentral.
GACGAACGCUGGCGGCGUGCUUAACACAUGCAAGUCGAACGGAAAGGCCCUGCUUGCAGGGUGCUCGAGUGGCGAACGGGUGAGUAACACGUGGGUGAUCUGCCCCUUACUUUGGGAUAAGCCUGGGAAACUGGGUCUAAUACUGGAUAGGACCAUGCUGUAGGUGGUGUGGUGGAAAGAUUAGUUUCGGUAAGGGAUGAGCUCGCGGCCUAUCAGCUUGUUGGUGGGGUAAUGGCCUACCAAGGCGUCGACGGGUAGCCGGCCUGAGAGGGUGGACGGCCACAUUGGGACUGAGAUACGGCCCAGACUCCUACGGGAGGCAGCAGUGGGGAAUAUUGCACAAUGGGCGCAAGCCUGAUGCAGCGACGCCGCGUGGGGGAUGACGGCCUUCGGGUUGUAAACUUCUUUCAGCCAUGACGAAGCCCUUGUGGUGACGGUAGUGGUAGAAGAAGCACCGGCUAACUACGUG